AUUGAACGCUGGCGGCAUGCUUUACACAUGCAAGUCGAACGGUAACAGGCCUUAGGGUGCUGACGAGUGGCGAACGGGUGAGUAAUGCAUCGGAACGUACCCAGAGGUGGGGGAUAACGCAGCGAAAGCUGUGCUAAUACCGCAGGUGAUCUGAGGAUGAAAGCGGGGGACCGAGCAGCAAUGUUUGGCCUCGCGCCUUUGGAGCGGCCGAUGUCGGAUUAGCUAGUUGGUGGGGUAAAGGCCUACCAAGGCGACGAUCCGUAGCUGGUCUGAGAGGACGACCAGCCACCCUGGGACUGAGACACGGCCCAGACUCCUACGGGAGGCCGCAGUGGGGAAUUUUGGACAAUGGGCGCAAGCCUGAUCCAGCAAUGCCGCGUGCGGGAAGAAGGCCUUCGGGUUGUAAACCGCUUUUGGCAGGAACGAAACGGUGUCCGCUAAUACCGGGCGCUAAUGACGGUACCUGCAGAAUAAGCACCGGCUAACUACGUG
RNAcentral lists this ribosomal RNA (492 nucleotides) under uncultured bacterium. RNAcentral describes it as "partial 16S ribosomal RNA". It matches the Rfam family "Bacterial small subunit ribosomal RNA", at positions 29 to 507 of the family's 1533-position model. The record is from RNAcentral.